RNAcentral lists this long non-coding RNA (662 nucleotides) under Malus domestica (apple). RNAcentral describes it as "long non-coding RNA (MDOM_LNC015986)". The record is from RNAcentral. Lineage: Eukaryota; Viridiplantae; Streptophyta; Magnoliopsida; Rosales; Rosaceae.
AUAUGAGACGGCUCAAACAAUAAUCUUUGCCCUUGAUAUUAAACUAGAUUAGUUUAACAUGUGAAAUUUCCGUAAAGUAUCAUCAUAUGAUUGGUUUUAGGGCACAUUUCCAACACCACUUUCGACCGAGUCGGGCCAGAUUCAUUUUUGUAACUGGUGGUAUCGAGCUCAUGGUUCUUUCAAGCCUUCCUUGUCUCAUGCUACUGUAUUGGUAGUGGGACUUAACAUCCCACAUGGCAACCUCGCCUCCUCACCUUUUACUUCUUUAAAAGCUUCAAAAUUUCUAAACACUUCAGGUAGACCCUUAAGCUCUGAAUCUUUUCCAAACCUCUGGAAGACAUUCUUAGUAGUUUCCUUGUUUGCUUCAACAUCCCGAAGAAUACUUCUACAAGCAUCUUGUUCUUCUAUCUCUCUCAUUCUGACCAACUCUCGAUCAAUGAUGGCUCCUGAUGUUGGUACCUCAAGCUCACACUCACACUGACAUUUGCUACACAAAACUACUCUUUUGACCAUAGCAUUUUGGGGCUUAUCGAGUGACCUCAUGACACCUUAUGUUGCCCUACCUGCUUGCCUUAUUUAUCCUCUUUCAUCCAAGGUUACUUUUCUUUUCCCCCUCUCCACCCAAUUAAGGUUUAUCAUGUUGAUUGGGGCUUAAGGGAAUG